GCCUGGGUGGCUCAGUUGGUUAAGCGUCCGACUUUAGCUCGGGUCAUGAUCUCGCAGUCUGUGAGUUCAAGCCCCGCAUCAGGCC
RNAcentral lists this transfer RNA (85 nucleotides) under Felis catus (domestic cat). It matches the Rfam family "tRNA". From Rfam's summary of the family: Transfer RNA (tRNA) molecules are approximately 80 nucleotides in length. Their secondary structure includes four short double-helical elements and three loops (D, anti-codon, and T loops). Lineage: Eukaryota; Metazoa; Chordata; Mammalia; Carnivora; Felidae. The record is from Rfam by way of RNAcentral.